Molecule: ribosomal RNA, 1014 nt
Filed under: uncultured bacterium
Lineage: Bacteria
Description: bacterial SSU rRNA
Rfam family: Bacterial small subunit ribosomal RNA
Source: RNAcentral
GAAUAUUGGUCAAUGGGCGAGAGCCUGAACCAGCCAAGUAGCGUGAAGGAUGACCGCCCUAUGGGUUGUAAACUUCUUUUAUAUGGGAAUAAAGGGUGCCACGUGUGGCAUUUUGUAUGUACCAUAUGAAUAAGGAUCGGCUAACUCCGUGCCAGCAGCCGCGGUAAUACGGAGGAUCCGAGCGUUAUCCGGAUUUAUUGGGUUUAAAGGGAGCGUAGGCGGACGCUUAAGUCAGUUGUGAAAGUUUGCGGCUCAACCGUAAAAUUGCAGUUGAUACUGGGUGUCUUGAGUACAGUAGAGGCAGGCGGAAUUCGUGGUGUAGCGGUGAAAUGCUUAGAUAUCACGAAGAACUCCGAUUGCGAAGGCAGCUUGCUGGACUGUAACUGACGCUGAUGCUCGAAAGUGUGGGUAUCAAACAGGAUUAGAUACCCUGGUAGUCCACACAGUAAACGAUGAAUAUUCGCUGUUUGCGAUAUACAGUAAGCGGCCAAGCGAAAGCGUUAAGUAUUCCACCUGGGGAGUACGCCGGCAACGGUGAAACUCAAAGGAAUUGACGGGGGCCCGCACAAGCGGAGGAACAUGUGGUUUAAUUCGAUGAUACGCGAGGAACCUUACCCGGGCUUGAAUUGCAACUGAAUGAUGUGGAGACAUGUCAGCCGCAAGGCAGUUGUGAAGGUGCUGCAUGGUUGUCGUCAGCUCGUGCCGUGAGGUGUCGGCUUAAGUGCCAUAACGAGCGCAACCCUUAUCGAUAGUUACCAUCAGGUUAUGCUGGGGACUCUGUCGAGACUGCCGUCGUAAGAUGUGAGGAAGGUGGGGAUGACGUCAAAUCAGCACGGCCCUUACGUCCGGGGCUACACACGUGUUACAAUGGGGGGUACAGAAGGCAGCUACACGGCGACGUGAUGCUAAUCCCUAAAGCCUCUCUCAGUUCGGAUUGGAGUCUGCAACCCGACUCCAUGAAGCUGGAUUCGCUAGUAAUCGCGCAUCAGCCACGGCGCGGUGAAUACGUUCCCG